AUCGCAACCUCGUGCAUUGCGGUUCCUAUGCGUCAUCCGCACCCAUCUGCCGACUGCUCGCUACGUCUUGUUUGCC
Molecule: small RNA, 76 nt
Filed under: Xanthomonas euvesicatoria
Lineage: Bacteria; Pseudomonadati; Pseudomonadota; Gammaproteobacteria; Lysobacterales; Lysobacteraceae
Also listed under: 1 other name
Description: sX9 sRNA
Rfam family: Xanthomonas sRNA sX9
Source: RNAcentral